RNAcentral lists this long non-coding RNA (2658 nucleotides) under Homo sapiens (human). RNAcentral describes it as "non-protein coding NR2F1-AS1:5". The record is from RNAcentral. Lineage: Eukaryota; Metazoa; Chordata; Mammalia; Primates; Hominidae.
GGCGCGGAGCCGCGCGGAGUGACAAAGCCGCCGCUGCCGCCGCCGGGGGUGGGAGCCGCGCUCGCCCGCCCGCCCCUCGACUCGCGAGGGCGUAAAAGUUUGUCUCAGCUCGAGCAUUCCUAGCGCCAACACGCCCUCAGGUAAAGGUGGAAGUAAAUGGCCACGCUGUAUUGACAGAGCAGGUAGAUGAAACUCAAGAGAAAAGGUGUGGAUAAAUGAAACUAGCCCAUGAUGAACCUGUUUUCUCCGUGACCACAAUAUUAACCAGGAUGAAUGGCGGUGGCAGUGGGCCUGCAUCACAGGUUGCAGCAGAUGUUCUCAAUAUUUCUAUUAAAAUUUCCUUAUUUCCAUAUGCAAGAGGAGCCCCAGAGCUGCAUCCUUAUGGUAGCUACCAUGCCGUGAUGUAAGCUGCCAUUCACUGGGGAGCUUUGGCAAUAGAAUUGGCUAGAUCAGGAAGCCUAUGUCAACUAUGGAACAACAACUUGCAGCUCAUCUCUAUUGAUGAUACACUGCCUCUAGGACUGGGACAGAUAGCCACUGAGUACCUGCUUCAAAUCACCCUGCACGUUUUCUCUUUGGAAAGAUAAGCACUGGAGAACCAUCUCGUUACCUUCAGCAGAAAUGGAAACAAAUCAAGACAUUAAGAAUGCCGCAGUGGACAGCAGUUAUGCAAGGUUCAGCAGAGGAAGUUUUCAAGAUGGUGUGCCUCACUAGCCAGAAAUCAGAAAAGAUCGAAGCUAGCCUUUUCAUCUCAGCUGCUCCUUAAAUCAGUGCAACCCCUCCAAAUUAAUGUGAAUUGAAACUUGCAUUGCUUUUCAACUUAAUUGAAUACUUACUAUAUGUGAACCACUGCACAAAAUAGGGGAAGAAGAUGUGGGAGACAAAGAUGUGGAGCCUGUCUUCAAUAAAUUUACAGUUAGUUUCAGGGUACAUUGUUUUUCUUCUGCUGUUAAUUAGGUGUAUCCCCAAGACAAUAAAUACAUGAAUGGAAAAGUAUAUUCUGUGUUUUAAGUCUCUUUAAUAAAAAACAAAACAAAAUCCAAAAAAACUCCUAACAUGGCAACUCAGGACAUUUUAAUCCUUUUUUUUGUUGUUGGGCUUCUGAUAGGAUCCAUUUUAUUGAUUCCAUAAAUAUUUAGUAGACUUUAGACAUAUUAAUACAUUGUAGUUUGAGUUAAUUUGCAUUAAAUUCUGUUUUUUUCCCCUUAGGUAUAGAUUGUCUGUUGGAAAAAUAUAUUGCUUGUGGAUUUCUUGGGGAGUGGGAAGGUGAAUUAUACCUGUUGUCUCUACAGUCCACUACCUUCCACACCCUAGGGCAGUGGUCCCCAACCUUCUUGGCACCAGGGAUCAGUUUCCUGGAAGACAAUUUUUCUGUGGAUGGUGUGGGGAUGGUUUUGGGAUGGAACUGUUCCACCUCAGAUCAUCAGGCAUUAGUUAGGCUCUCAUAACGAGUGCGCAGCCUAGAUCCCUCACAUGCACAGUUCACAGUAGGGUUUGCGCUGCUAUGAGAAUCUAAGGCUGCCACUGAUCUGACAGGAGGCAGAACUCAGGUGGCAAUGCUUACUGGCCCACUGCUCACCUCUUGCUGUGCGGCCUGGUUCCUAAUAGGCCAUGGACCCCCACAGACGGGUACUAGUCUGCAGCCUGUGGACCCCAGCCCUAGGGGCCUGCCAUUCUGAGUGAGUUAUUAGCAUGAAGAAGAGGAAGAUCUGGAUCAAACGUGGGUGAUGGUACUCAGAGACCCAAGAUAGGAUAGGGAUGGAACAAAAUCCAUCUGGGCAACGGCUCUAUGAAAAUUUGGCUAAGUAAUUAUUUCAGUAUUCAUUGUAUUCAUUGUCCUUCGUGUUCCAUAAGUUAAAUGACUGUCUAAUUUUUCCAAAAAUUUAUUUCUGACUUGAGAAUAAGUGUGUCAUGAUUUUCCCAGUGUAAAGACACUGAUAUAACUGUAGAUACCAGACAUUUUAUGUAGUGUCUAUGACACAUUUUAGUAUGUAUGAGCCAACAAUAGACAUGUCUUUGUCUUGAGGAGUGUCCAUCUGAAUUGAAAAUGUGUCAGCUUUUUUUUAACAUCAUCAACAGACUUCUUAAUUAAGCUGCCAAUACAUACUGCCAAUAGCACUGUGUGCUGUCUGAGAAAUGCAUUGUGUAAGUGCUAUUUCCAUCUUAUUAAAUAAACAAUGUUGCUCUGUAUAAACUGGAUUUAAAGUGUUCUUUGAAUGAGGCAUUAUAUUGCUCCAUAAAUAAUGUGAUGUGAAUUCUCAUAUGAUCCCUUUUAACUUAAUUUCUAAAAAAAUAUUAUUUGCUCCUCAGUAAGGAAUAGCUCUAAUUGGACUGGUAACUUUAGUGAUAUGAUUUGUCUGUAACAGGCUGAAUCGCCCCACUCCCAAACUCCUGGUCGUGAUACUGGAUAUUUGUUAUGCCACUUUUAGUUUGCAUGAGGUAUCUUCCAGGAAGUAUUAGUUAUUAACUUGUGUUCUACUAAACUGUAGAUAUUUAUUUCCUGUUCUGGAAGAUUUCUUGGAGUGUCCAUCUGUGCAUUCCUGGUGCCUAGUGUAGUCUUGCUAAUGGAAUAGCACCUUUAUUGGUGCUACUUAGGGGUUGGUAGCUUACAAUCAAUCUACUUGGAACGUAUCCAAAUAAACUGGAUAUUUUUAUACA